This 622-nucleotide ribosomal RNA is filed under the name uncultured bacterium. RNAcentral's name for it is "bacterial SSU rRNA". The stretch from base 1 to 541 matches the Rfam family "Bacterial small subunit ribosomal RNA", at positions 338 to 873 of the family's 1533-position model. The record is from RNAcentral.
CCUACGGGAGGCAGCAGUGGGGAAUUUUGGACAAUGGACGCAAGUCUGAUCCAGCCAUGCCGCGUGUGGGAAGAAGGCCUUCGGGUUGUAAACCACUUUUGUCAGGGAAGAAACGGCUCUUACUAAUAUUAGGAGCUAAUGACGGUACCUGAAGAAUAAGCACCGGCUAACUACGUGCCAGCAGCCGCGGUAAUACGUAGGGUGCAAGCGUUAAAUCGGAAUUACUGGGCGUAAAGCGUGCGCAGGCGGUUAUGCAAGACAGAUGUGAAAUCCCCGGGCUCAACCUGGGAACUGCAUUUGUGACUGCAUAGCUAGAGUACGGUAGAGGGGGAUGGAAUUCCGCGUGUAGCAGUGAAAUGCGUAGAUAUGCGGAGGAACACCGAUGGCGAAGGCAAUCCCCUGGACCUGUACUGACGCUCAUGCACGAAAGCGUGGGGAGCAAACAGGAUUAGAUACCCUGGUAGUCCACGCCCUAAACGAUGUCAACUGGUUGUUGGAGGGUUUCUNUCAGUAACGUAGCUAACGCGUGAAGUUGACCGCCUUGGGGAGGUAACGGCGCGAGUUAGUAAGUUAGAAGAAGUUAGAGGCGNGAGAGNGCGACGGACGACGACGAGGGAGGAGG